GGGUUGUGAGGUUAAGCGACUAAGCGUACACGGUGGAUGCCCUGGCAGUCAGAGGCGAUGAAGGGCGUGCUAAUCUGCGAUAAGCGCCGGUAAGGUGAUAUGAACCGUUAUAACCGGCGAUACCCGAAUGGGGAAACCCAGUGUGAYUCGUCACACUAUCAUUAACUGAAUCCAUAGGUUAAUGAGGCGAACCGGGGGAACUGAAACAUCUAAGUACCCCGAGGAAAAGAAAUCAACCGAGAUUCCCCCAGUAGCGGCGAGCGAACGGGGAGGAGCCCAGAGCCUGAAUCAGCAUGUGUGUUAGUGGAAGCGUCUGGAAAGGCGCGCGAUACAGGGUGACAGCCCCGUACACAAAAGCGCAUGUGCUGUGAGCUCGAUGAGUAGGGCGGGACACGUGGUAUCCUGUCUGAAUAUGGGGGGACCAUCCUCCAAGGCUAAAUACUCCUGACUGACCGAUAGUGAACCAGUACCGUGAGGGAAAGGCGAAAAGAACCCCGGCGAGGGGAGUGAAAAAGAACCUGAAACCGUGUACGUACAAGCAGUGGGAGCAUGUUGAAAAAUUAGCGGAUGACCUGUGGCUGGGGGUGAAAGGCCAAUCAAACCGGGAGAUAGCUGGUUCUCCCCGAAAGCUAUUUAGGUAGCGCCUCGUGAAUUCAUCUCCGGGGGUAGAGCACUGUUU
Molecule: ribosomal RNA, 679 nt
Filed under: Salmonella enterica subsp. enterica serovar Infantis
Lineage: Bacteria; Pseudomonadati; Pseudomonadota; Gammaproteobacteria; Enterobacterales; Enterobacteriaceae
Description: partial 23S ribosomal RNA
Source: RNAcentral